GUCCACGCCGUAAACGAUGGAUACUAGCUGUUGGGAUUUAUCUCAGUGGCUAAGCGAAAGUGAUAAGUAUCCCACCUGGGGAGUACGUUCGCAAGAAUGAAACUCAAAGGAAUUGACGGGGCCCGCACAAGCGGUGGAGCAUGUGGUUUAAUUCGAUGAUACGCGAGGAACCUUACCAAGGCUUAAAUGUAGAUUGACAGGUUUGGAAACAGACUUUUCUUCGGACAAUUUACAAGGUGCUGCAUGGUUGUCGU
Molecule: ribosomal RNA, 254 nt
Filed under: uncultured bacterium
Lineage: Bacteria
Description: partial 16S ribosomal RNA
Rfam family: Bacterial small subunit ribosomal RNA
Source: RNAcentral